UGCAGGAUCAACCAGGUAGCAUUCCUCACAGACAUUGGGUUGCAAGAUGCGAGACAUGCUUGAAACGCCAAACGUCAUCCGAAUGGGGCAUGUUAUGCCAAUUUGGGGGCAAAUAGAGGUCAAGACCCCGUACCCGCAACGUGUUCUGCAUCCCGAAGCUCAAGAAAAAUUUAUGGGCCGUGAUGAAAACGCGGAACAUUCUCAAAACGGAACACAAAUUUGUCUUUCAUGUUUGCUCGAAGCCGCACCAUGUGCAUGGACAGCAUUGAGCAAACGGGUAAAAAAUUGGCUAACGAAUUCCAUGAACGUAGGUAUGUAACACAGGAAACCAACACCACGGACAAGAGUACCUCUUGUUCCGACUAUGAAGAGGAAUGCACGGUAGGAUGUUCGUGCCCAAGCA
This 403-nucleotide unclassified non-coding RNA is filed under the name Palicourea quadrilateralis. Its description in RNAcentral is "partial external transcribed spacer". Lineage: Eukaryota; Viridiplantae; Streptophyta; Magnoliopsida; Gentianales; Rubiaceae. The record is from RNAcentral.